RNAcentral lists this non-coding RNA (216 nucleotides) under Fictibacillus phosphorivorans. RNAcentral describes it as "T-box sequence". It matches the Rfam family "T-box leader". From Rfam's summary of the family: Uncharged tRNA acts as the effector for transcription antitermination of genes in the T-box leader family. T-boxes are found upstream of many aminoacyl-tRNA synthetase genes and some amino acid biosynthetic genes usually in Gram-positive bacteria. Lineage: Bacteria; Bacillati; Bacillota; Bacilli; Caryophanales; Fictibacillaceae. The record is from RNAcentral.
AAAAAAUCAAUGACAGGAACUAGUAGCAAAAAUUACUUUGUUUAGAGAGUCGGUGGCUGGUGAAAACCGAUCAAAGUGUUUUGUGAAUCCAUCCUCGAGUGAAGAGCUGAACGUUCAGUAAGCUUUUCCGGUGAAGAACCGUUACAUGUAAUCGAGCCGGCAAUAGAAAUUCUAUUGCAAUUAGGGUGGCAACGCGGGUUAACUCUCGUCCCUAUU